GCCAGGCAUGGUGGCGUAUGCCUGUAAUCCCAGCUACUUGGGAGGCUGAGGCAGGAGAAUUGCUUGAGCUCCAGAGGCGGAGGUUGCAGUGAGCUGAGAUCCUGCCAUUGCACUCCAGCCUGGGUGACAAGAGUGAAACUCCGUCUCCAAUAAUAAUAAUAAUAAUACAUAAGUAAAUUUUUAAUUAAAAAAUAAAAUUUUUAUUUAUUUAUUUAUUUUUUGAGUCAGAGUCUCACUCUGUCAUCCAGGCUGGAGUGCAGUGGCAUCAUCUCAGCUCGCUGCAACCUCCGCCUCUGGAGCUCAAGCAAUUCUCCUGCCUCAG
Molecule: non-coding RNA, 322 nt
Organism: Gorilla gorilla gorilla (western lowland gorilla)
Lineage: Eukaryota; Metazoa; Chordata; Mammalia; Primates; Hominidae
Source: Rfam